CCUACGGGAGGCAGCAGUGAGGAAUAUUGGUCAAUGGACGAGAGUCUGAACCAGCCAAGUCGCGUGAAGGAUGACGGCCCUCUGGGUUGUAAACUUCUUUUGUAAAGGAAUAAAACGAGGCACGUGUGCCUUUUUGCGUGUACUUUAUGAAUAAGGAUCGGCUAACUCCGUGCCAGCAGCCGCGGUAAUACGGAGGAUCCGAGCGUUAUCCGGAUUUAUUGGGUUUAAAGGGAGCGUAGAUGGGUUGGUAAGGCAGUUGUGAAAGUUUGCGGCUCAACCGUAAAAGUGCAAUUGAUACUGGCAGUCUUGAGUACAGUUGAGGUAGGCGGAAUUCGUGGGGUAGCGGUGAAAUGCGUAGAUAUCACGAAGAACCCCGAUUGCGAAGGCAGCUUACUAAACUGUGACUGACAUUGAUGCUCGAAAGUGUGGGUAUCAAACAGGAUUAGAUACCCGAGUAGUC
RNAcentral lists this ribosomal RNA (460 nucleotides) under uncultured bacterium. Its description in RNAcentral is "partial 16S ribosomal RNA". It matches the Rfam family "Bacterial small subunit ribosomal RNA", at positions 338 to 795 of the family's 1533-position model. The record is from RNAcentral.